GAUGAGUGGAUCUGGUUCAGAACAUCUGUGAACACAGAGGGAGUGGAAACUUCACUUUCAACAUCAUCAGCCAACUUCCCUCCCAUUACAAUUCUAUCUCAAGAUCAAGGUCAUGCAAGAAAACCAGCAGGCACUGCAAAUCAUCCUGAGAAAGACACAUGAAUUGAAGCUGAGGACUUGACAUGGAGUGGAAGGGAGUCAUGUUAGAAAUAUUCAUAAGGAGAAUCCACAAAACUAAGUAUGUGCCUGUAGGAACAGGUGAAUUGCUACGAGCAUUCAUUAUCAUCACAGCCACAAUGGCAGCUAACAGUGUUGUCAUGCUCCAUGUGCUUUGGCUGUGGUCUUCUUCUGCUGGAAUCCCCUCACUGCCCAGACAAUCUCAUCCAUCUUGCAGGUCAGCUGCACAGUCCGCUUCUCAGAAACCUUCCAAGUGCUAAGCAGCAGUUUCCUGCUUUCUCUACACAUUGCUGUUACAGCAAUUACUAAACUGUUGCAACUAUUUCGGAGAAAGGAGCUUCUGCUGUUUUAUGAUUAAAUAUUUUUGCUUUUUGAAAAGUAAAGGAAAUAAGUAACAACAAGCCAGGAAGCUCACGAAUAUAGUUGAGACCUCCUGAGUACAUCUCCCUGACCCCCUGUCCUACGAUGAUGUUUCCUUUUACCAUGUGUGUCCUUACACUUUAGUCUUCAUACUCACUUAUA
This 699-nucleotide long non-coding RNA is filed under the name Papio anubis (olive baboon). Its description in RNAcentral is "lncRNA (ENSPANG00000046749.1)". The record is from RNAcentral. Lineage: Eukaryota; Metazoa; Chordata; Mammalia; Primates; Cercopithecidae.